Molecule: ribosomal RNA, 1742 nt
Filed under: Acanthella sp. NTM Z4461
Lineage: Eukaryota; Metazoa; Porifera; Demospongiae; Bubarida; Dictyonellidae
Description: eukaryotic LSU rRNA
Rfam family: Eukaryotic large subunit ribosomal RNA
Source: RNAcentral
AGUACUUUGAAAAGAGAGUCAAAGAGACCGCGAAACCGUUAGGAGGGAAACGAAUGCAGCCCGAUGGGCUUCGAGCGGGUUCAGGGGCGGUGGUGCCGUCGGAUCGGCUGGGCGGACCCGUAGGGGCCGUCCCGCGGAUUGCGGACGGUGGAUCGCCCUGCACUCCCGGUCGAUAGCCGGCCAGCGUCGGUUCGGUUCGGCUCACGCGGGCGGUCGGGAAGGUGCCUCAAUGCGCCGUUUCGGCGCGCGCAGGGAGUACUUACAGCCGAUCGUUCGGCAGUCGGACGUUGCGGACCGAGGAGACGUGUGACGCUUCACACCGGCAGAGCAUGCUUGCCGUUCAGGCGGCGGGCCGGGCCUCUUCUGAUCGUUGGGCAGGCGCUGCUGGGACUGCCCGUCAGUGCCAGUUGACGUCCCGUCCUCCCGGUCGGGAGGUUGGUCACGCCUUGCGCUGCGGUCGCUGGCCGAAGGAAGGCUGCAUCCGACCCGUCUUGAAACACGGACCAAGGAGUGCAACAUGCGUGCGAGUCUGUGGGUGGCAGACCCGUCGGCGUAAUGAGAGUGAAGGCGGACGCCUGGUCCGCCGAGGCAGGAGCCGUCCUCAGCGUUCGGCCCACUGUUGACCGAUCCCGUGCCACGCUGUGGUGGGAUUCGAGUGAGAGCGUGCCUGUUGCGACCCGAAAGAUGGUGAACUAUGCCUGAAUAGGGCGAAGCCAGAGGAAACUCUGGUGGAAGCUCGCAGCGGUUCUGACGUGCAAAUCGAUCGUCAAAUUUGGGUAUAGGGGCGAAAGACUAAUCGAACCAUCUAGUAGCUGGUUCCCUCCGAAGUUUCCCUCAGGAUAGCUGGAGCCCGGAGCAGUUUUAUCAGGUAAAGCGAAUGAUUAGAGGUCUUGGGGUUGAAACAACCUCAACCUAUUCUCAAACUUUAAAUGGGUAAGAAGUCCGGCUUGCUCGGUUUGAAGUCGGACGUUGGAAUGCUGGGGCUCCCAGUGGGCCAUUUUUGGUAAGCAGAACUGGCGAUGCGGGAUGAACCGAACGCCGGGUUAAGGUGCCCGAAUCGACGCUCAUCAGAUCCCAUGAAAGGUGUUGGUUGAUCUAGACAGCAGGACGGUGGCCAUGGAAGUCGGAAUCCGCUAAGGAGUGUGUAACAACUCACCUGCCGAAUCAACUAGCCCUGAAAAUGGAUGGCGCUGAAGCGUCGUACCCACACCCGGCCGUCGGGUCGAGCUGCAAGUCCCGACGAGUAGGAGGGCGCGGCGGUGGCCGUGCAGCCUCGGGCGCGAGUCCGGGCGAAGCCGCCGCCGGUGCGGAUCUUGGUGGUAGUAGCAAAUAUUCAAACGAGAGCUUUGAAGACUGAAGUGGGGAAGGGUUCCAUGUCGACAGCAGUUGGACAUGGGUUAGUCGAUCCUGAGAGGAGGGAGAGGUCCCCCUGCAAGGCGCAGUCGUCUCGUUGCGACGGCGCUGUUCCUCGAAAGGGAGUCGGGUUAAGAUUCCCGAACCGGGAGGCGGAUAGGCCUUCGGGCCGCGAGCGGCGACGCAAGCGAACUCGGAGACGUCGGCGGGAGCUCCGGGAAGAGUUCUCUUUUCUUCUUAACGGGCUAUCCCCCUGGAAUCAGAUUGGCUGGAGAUAGGGUCCAACGCCCGGUAAAGCGCCACACUUAUUGUGGCGUCCGGUGCGCUCCCGACGGCCCUUGAAAAUCCGAGGGAGACNGUUGAUUUUCGCGCCCGGUCGUACCGAUAUC